Molecule: RNA transcript, 813 nt
Organism: Myotis davidii
Lineage: Eukaryota; Metazoa; Chordata; Mammalia; Chiroptera; Vespertilionidae
Gene: REX1BD
Gene name: chromosome unknown open reading frame, human C19orf60
Exons: 6
Source: RefSeq, a predicted model, not a curated record
GCAGCCACCCGGGCGUGGCCAGGGCUGAGCAAUCAUGAUCACCGCCGAGGCCGAGGCCGAGUCAGCGGUCCCUAAGGUGCCCGAAGCUGGGGCAGUCAGAGGAGACCCAGAGCUCAAGGAACCAACAUGGCCUUGGAAAGAUGCCCCGAUCCGGGCGCUGGUGCAGCGCAUCCACCAGUUGCAGGCUGAGCGUGCGCAGGCCUUCCACCGCCUGGAGGAAGGCCACCACCAGUACCUGCGCAGCGGCCCGCCAUACGACUUCCCGAGCUACCGGAUCACAGUGCACGAGGUGACCCAGGCCUUCGCCGCUGCCUCCAGGGAGGUGCUGGCGGUGGAGGCCGAGCUGGCCGGCCCUAGAGCGCAGCCGCUGCUCGCGGGCCACGUGCGAAGCCUACAGCAGCUGGAGCAGACACGCCUGGCCACGCACCCUGAGACCCUCAAAACCAUGAGGCCCCACCUCCUGUGCCCCUGCAACCUGGCUGACUGCUGGUCCCACCCCAUGCCAAGGUGGCCCUGCUGCAACUGAUGGGGACAAAAGAGCUCACAGGGCAGGAAGACACCCUACAGUCGCACCAGCUGAAGAUGAAGGUAAUUAAAACCAUGGAAGCCAUCAGUGAGGUUCUCCAGGACCUCAGGUUUGAUGCAGAAUCUGCUGAGUGAUGGUGACUCCCCAGGGACCUGCUGAGGGAGCUGGGAAAUGAGUCAGGCAGCGCCCAGCUCUGACUGCCAGUUGGAUAGGGUUGAACCUCACCGGGCUGUUGACCCUCCGUGAGGUCACCGCACCUCCCACAAUAAAGAAACCUUCAUCUGCAA